RNAcentral lists this ribosomal RNA (112 nucleotides) under Colwellia sp. BRX8-8. RNAcentral describes it as "partial 23S ribosomal RNA". It matches the Rfam family "Bacterial large subunit ribosomal RNA", at positions 2163 to 2274 of the family's 2925-position model. The record is from RNAcentral. Lineage: Bacteria; Pseudomonadati; Pseudomonadota; Gammaproteobacteria; Alteromonadales; Colwelliaceae.
CAUUGUCGCCAGAUGAAGUGGAGUCUACCUUGAAAUACCACCCUUGUAUGCGUGAUGUUCUAACCUAGGGCCCUUAUCGGGCUUGGGGACACUGUCUGGUGGGUAGUUUGAC